AUGUGUAUCCAUCUCAUUGUCCUCGCUCUUUGCCUGACUCCAUGCCUGCCUCAGUCCAUUCUACAAACUCCACCAAUGAUAGUUGUGAGCCCUGAGCAGCCAGUGAAGCUGAAUUGCACCUCGAUGGCUACUGGAGAUCCCUAUAUGUAUUGGUAUAGGCAGCCAAUGACCGGAGGGGCUCUUGUGCUUGUAGUGUUAUCUUAUGGGAAAGGUUCGGUUGAAGAGCUAACACUCAAAAAUUUCACAGCCAAGAGAAUUAAGGACAAAGAGGCGGAAUUCACCUUGGAAAGCGAUAAGAUUAAGGCUGAAGAUGCAGGGGUCUAUUACUGUGCGUGGAGUAUCACAGAUGUAUAA
Non-coding RNA from Rana temporaria (common frog), 354 nucleotides. The record is from the annotation of a RefSeq genome assembly. NCBI's taxonomy places the organism in Eukaryota, Metazoa, Chordata, Amphibia, Anura, Ranidae.